UGGUGCAUGGUUGUCGUCAGCUCGUGUCGUGAGAUGUUGGGUUAAGUCCCGCAACGAGCGCAACCCCUGUCUCAUGUUGCCAGCACGUUAUGGUGGGGACUCGUGAGAGACUGCCGGGGUCAACUCGGAGGAAGGUGGGGAUGACGUCAAAUCAUCAUGCCCCUUAUGUCUAGGGCUUCACACAUGCUACAAUGGCUAGUACAGAGGGCUGCGAUACCGUGAGGUGGAGCGAAUCCCUUAAAGCUGGUCUCAGUUCGGAUUGGGGUCUGCAACUCGACCCCAUGAAGUCGGAGUCGCUAGUAAUCGCAGAUCAGCAACGCUGCGGUGAAUACGUUCCCGGGCCUUGUACACACCGCCCGUCACGUCAUGAAAGUCGGUAACACCCGAAGCCGGUGGCCUAACCCCCUUGUGGGGAGGGAGCCGUCGAAGGUGGGAUCGGCGAUUGGGACG
Molecule: ribosomal RNA, 450 nt
Rfam family: Bacterial small subunit ribosomal RNA